RNAcentral lists this ribosomal RNA (253 nucleotides) under uncultured bacterium. RNAcentral's name for it is "partial 16S ribosomal RNA". It matches the Rfam family "Bacterial small subunit ribosomal RNA", at positions 524 to 776 of the family's 1533-position model. The record is from RNAcentral.
UACGAAGGGGGCUAGCGUUGCUCGGAAUCACUGGGCGUAAAGCGCACGUAGGCGGGUCUUUAAGUCAGGGGUGAAAUCCUGGAGCUCAACUCCAGAACUGCCUUUGAUACUGAGGAUCUCGAGUCCGGGAGAGGUGAGUGGAACUCCGAGUGUGGAGGUGAAAUUCGUAGAUAUUCGGAAGAACACCAGUGGCGAAGGCGGCUCACUGGCCCGGUACUGACGCUGAGGUGCGAAAGCGUGGGGAGCAAACAGG